AACCAUAGAAACCUGCGGAGUACCUGCGGAAGGAUCAUUACAGAGUUCAUGCCCUCACGGGUAGAUCUUCCACCCUUGAAUACUAUACCUUUGUUGCUUUGGCGGGCCGCUUUGGCUACUGGCUCUGGCUAGUAAGUGCCCGCCAAAGAACCCCAAAACUCUGAAUAUUAGUGUCGUCUGAGUACUAUAUAAUAGUUAAAACUUUCAACAACGGAUCU
This 218-nucleotide unclassified non-coding RNA is filed under the name soil metagenome. RNAcentral's name for it is "partial contains 5.8S ribosomal RNA, internal transcribed spacer 2, and large subunit ribosomal RNA". The record is from RNAcentral.